AGAGAGCCUUUUAUGUCGGUGUACAGAAAGGGUUUCGGUGGGGUUGCGUCUAUGUGCGCGGUAGAUGAGUACAACUUUCGCUCGUAUUUCUUAGAGCAUUGAAGUUGUUGUCGAGAUAUUUUAUAUGAAGCGACUCAUAAAUGGAAUUAAAUAAAAUAACAGAAAGAUCUGCUAGUUCAAAAGUAAGGAAAGGUUUACUGCAGCUGUGCAAACUAAGGAUAGGACCCAAAUCCAGACAGAAACAAGGAGAAUAGGCCAUCUUCCCUGGAUCCGCUACACGCAAAGGGGAAAAGGGGUCCCUGAACAAUGUGCAAGUUUGCAAAGCAGAAGCACCAGCCUUUCUGAUGGCUCAUCCAUUUAAACUUCCAGAUUUACUGCUUGUUGGGGGCAUGAAGUAUGUGUGACCUUGGAGGACUAUAUUCUAGUGUCUGGCCAAAGGAUAGCAACUGAUUAGAAUAAUAUGAAAAACAAACCAUUAGAGCAGUGAUUCCCAAACUUUUCCCCCACAGACCACUUGAAUAUUGCUGAGGGUCUUGGUGGACCACUGAAUGAUUUUUUUUUUUGCCUGUUGUAGCAAUUGUGAUGCAUUGUGCUAGAUGCUGUAGGAUUCUAGCCUCCUAUUAACUUUGCUGCUAGUCCUCUCCAUUCCUUACAGAUGUCUCCUUCCCCGCAUCACUUCCGGUCCAUCCUGGUCACUGUCUGGGUAGACCACCAGGUUCUAAGAAUGAUGGAGCAGCCACCAUACCUGCCAUUCACAGCUACUCCUCCCACCAUUCUUCACAGGCAUGCCAUGGACCUCUGAAUGAAGCUCAUGGACCAUUGGUGAUUCCUGGAGCUUAGGUUGGGAACCUCUGCAUUAGAGAUUAUGUGUCAUUUCCCACAUAUUAAGUUGGGAAAAUGGAGUUUUGGGGGGCACCUGUAUUUCACAGGGAGCCAUGACCAAGCAAGAGUCCCCUGAUGCUCAUGUUUCUGUUGCAUUUGUUUAUUUGUACACUGCGCUCAACAUCUAAGGCCCUCCUCCGAGUACCAUCCCAUCGAGAAGCUCGGAGGAUAAUGACUAGAACUAGGGCCUUUUCAGUGGUGGCCCCCAAACUGUGGAAUAGUCUCCCUGAUGAGGUGUGCCUGGCGCCGACGCUGCUAUCUUUUCGGCGCCAGGUGAAAACUUUUUUAUACUCCCAGGCAUUUUAAAUUGUAUCUUAUGUGUAUUUUAUAGUGUAUUUUAACAAUAUUGCAUUAUUGUUUGUAUUUUGGUGUAGUUUGGUUCUUUGCUUGUUUGUUUGAUUCUGUUAUAUCUAUUGUAUUUAUAUA
Rhineura floridana is the source of this 1308-nucleotide long non-coding RNA. RefSeq lists it as uncharacterized. The transcript is spliced from 3 exons. NCBI's taxonomy places the organism in Eukaryota, Metazoa, Chordata, Lepidosauria, Squamata, Rhineuridae. The record is from RefSeq and is a predicted model, not a curated record.